This 199-nucleotide ribosomal RNA is filed under the name uncultured bacterium. RNAcentral describes it as "partial 16S ribosomal RNA". It matches the Rfam family "Bacterial small subunit ribosomal RNA", at positions 1293 to 1500 of the family's 1533-position model. The record is from RNAcentral.
UCGGACUGCAGGCUGAAACUCGCCUGCACGAAGUUGGAAUUGCUAGUAAUCGCGGAUCAGCAUGCCGCGGUGAAUACGUUCCCGGGUCUUGUACACACCGCCCGUCAAGCCAUGGAAGCCGGGGGUGCCUGAAGUGCGCUGCCGCAAGGAGCGCCCUAGGGUAAAACCGGUGACUGGGGCUAAGUCGUAACAAGGUACC